This 541-nucleotide ribosomal RNA is filed under the name uncultured archaeon. RNAcentral describes it as "bacterial SSU rRNA". It matches the Rfam family "Archaeal small subunit ribosomal RNA", at positions 326 to 869 of the family's 1478-position model. The record is from RNAcentral.
CGGGGUGCAGCAGGCGCGAAAACUCCACAAUGUACGAAAGUACGAUGGGGUUACCUCGAGUGCAGUCCGAUAAGGGCUGCUUUUCCAUAGAGUAAUAUCCUGUGGGAAUAAGAGGGGGGCAAGACUGGUGUCAGCCGCCGCGGUAACACCAGCCCCUCGAGUGGUGGGGACUAUUAUUUGGCCUAAAGCGUCCGUAGCUGGCUGUGUCAGUCCUCCGUUAAAUCCAGCGUCCUAAGCGUUGGACUGCGGGUGAUACCACACAGCUAGAGGGUGGGAUAGGUGAGCGGUAUUUCUGGGGUAGGGGCGAAAUCCUUUGAUCCCAGGAGGACCACCAGUGGCGAAGGCUGCUCACUAGAACACGCCUGACGGUCAGGGACGAAAGCUGGGGCAGCGAACCGGAUUAGAUACCCGGGUAGUCCCAGCUGUAAACGAUGCUAGCUAGGUGUUGGGUCGGCCACGUGCCGCCCCAGUGCCGCAGGGAAGCCGUUAAGCUAGCCGCCUGGGGAGUACGGCCGCAAGGCUGAAACUUAAAGGAAUUGGC